This 21-nucleotide non-coding RNA is filed under the name Caenorhabditis elegans. Lineage: Eukaryota; Metazoa; Nematoda; Chromadorea; Rhabditida; Rhabditidae. The record is from RNAcentral.
UCGUCAUUUAUUGUCCAUUUU